Molecule: transfer RNA, 69 nt
Filed under: Phrynosoma platyrhinos (Desert horned lizard)
Lineage: Eukaryota; Metazoa; Chordata; Lepidosauria; Squamata; Phrynosomatidae
Description: tRNA-OTHER
Source: RNAcentral
GGCGUGGUGUAGUGGUUUGAGCAUUGUACUACGGCUCUGGAGAACAGGGUUCGAAUCCCUGCUCAGCCA